AACACUGUUAACCUGCGGUACCUGCGGAAGGAUCAUUAAAAAAAUCUUUUGCCCGCGGACUUGUCCAAGGCGCAAAACGACCCACACCUGUGUGCACUGUUAUCGUUUCUUUGGCAGGGGCUUGGGGUGAUUUUUCCCUCCAACUUCUCCUCGAGCUCUAUCCUCUUCUCUCUCGCGGGGGGGAGGACAGCUGGACAUGGGAAGCAGUUUACCCUGCCAAGUAAACCUCAAAACACGCUC
Molecule: unclassified non-coding RNA, 240 nt
Filed under: soil metagenome
Description: partial contains 5.8S ribosomal RNA, internal transcribed spacer 2, and large subunit ribosomal RNA
Source: RNAcentral